ACAGAGGGGGCAAGCGUUGCUCGGAAUUACUGGGCGUAAAGGGCGCGUAGGCGGGAUGGCAAGUCGGUCGUGAAAUCCCUCGGCUCAACCGAGGAACGUCGAUCGAUACUGCUGUUCUUGAGGAUUGCAGAGGAGACUGGAAUUCCCGGUGUAGCGGUGAAAUGCGUAGAGAUCGGGAGGAAGGCCGGUGGCGAAGGCGGCGCUCUGGAACAUUUCUGACGCUGAGGCUCGAAAGCGUGGGGAGCAAACAGGA
Molecule: ribosomal RNA, 253 nt
Filed under: uncultured prokaryote
Description: partial 16S ribosomal RNA
Rfam family: Bacterial small subunit ribosomal RNA
Source: RNAcentral